UAAUAGUGUAUAUUAAAGUUGUUGCAGUUAAAAGCUCGUAGUUGAAUGUUGGUGUCGAACGAGCGGUCAGCUUCGGCUGUACUGCUCUCUCGACUCCUUCCUUCUGUGGACUACGUCGCACUUUACUGUGUGGCGCUAGGACGCAGAUCGUUUACUGUGAAAAAAUUAGAGUGUUCAAAGCAGGCCGUACGCUUGAAUACAUUAGCAUGGAAUAAUGGAAUAGGACGUCGGGCCUAUUUUGUUGGUUCUAGGACCGUCGUAAUGAUUAAUAGGGACAGUUGGGGCCGUUUAUAUUCCGUAGUCAGAGGUGAAAUUCUUGGAUUUACGGAAGAUAAACUACUGCGAAAGCAUUCGGCAAGGAUGUUUUCGUUAA
RNAcentral lists this ribosomal RNA (373 nucleotides) under uncultured eukaryote. RNAcentral's name for it is "partial 18S ribosomal RNA". It matches the Rfam family "Eukaryotic small subunit ribosomal RNA", at positions 592 to 976 of the family's 1831-position model. The record is from RNAcentral.